RNAcentral lists this ribosomal RNA (537 nucleotides) under uncultured crenarchaeote. Its description in RNAcentral is "bacterial SSU rRNA". It matches the Rfam family "Archaeal small subunit ribosomal RNA", at positions 321 to 860 of the family's 1478-position model. The record is from RNAcentral. Lineage: Archaea; Thermoproteati; Thermoproteota.
CCCUAUGGGGGGAGCAGGCGGGAAAACUUUGCAUGUGCGAAGCACGGACAAGGUUAAUCCGAGUGGUUCUGCUAAAGAAACUUUUGCUAGUCCUAGAAACACUAGUGAAUAAGGGCCGGGCAAGUUCUGGUGUCAGCCGCCGCGGUAAAACCAGCACCUCAAGUGGUCAGGAUGAUUAUUGGGCCUAAAGCAUCCGUAGCUCGUUUUGUAAGUUUUCGGUUAAAUCCAUACGCUUAACGUAUGGGCUGCCGGGAAUACUGCAUAACUAGGAAGUGGGAGAGGUAGACGGUACUCGGUAGGAAGGGGUAAAAUCCUUUGAUCUAUUGAUGACCACCUGUGGCGAAGGCGGUCUACCAGAACACGUUCGACGGUGAGGGAUGAAAGCUGGGGGAGCAAACCGGAUUAGAUACCUGUUGUAGUCCCAGCUGUAAACUAUGCAAAACUCAGUGAUGCAUUGGCUUGUGGCCAAUGCAGUGCUGCAGGGAAGCCGUUAAGUUUGCCGCCCUGGGAAGUACGUACGCAAGUAUGAAACUUUAA